CCUUACACCUGCAGAUUUGGCCGAGUGGUUUAAGGCGGCAGGCAAGUUAUGCCUUUCCAAAUGUCCCGAAAUUCCACUAACCUUUCCCCAAGACUUAAGUUCUGCUCACGAAAGUGGCGUGGGUUCGAACCCCACAGUCUGCAA
This 144-nucleotide transfer RNA is filed under the name Penicillium salamii. RNAcentral's name for it is "tRNA-Leu". It matches the Rfam family "tRNA". From Rfam's summary of the family: Transfer RNA (tRNA) molecules are approximately 80 nucleotides in length. Their secondary structure includes four short double-helical elements and three loops (D, anti-codon, and T loops). Lineage: Eukaryota; Fungi; Ascomycota; Eurotiomycetes; Eurotiales; Aspergillaceae. The record is from RNAcentral.